UACGGAGGGUGCAAGCGUUAAUCGGAAUUACUGGGCGUAAAGCGCGCGUAGGCGGCUUGUUAAGUCGAAUGUGAAAUCCCCGGGCGUCAACCUGGGAACGUGCAUCCGAUACUGGCUGGCUAGAGUGCGGCAGAGGGGGAGUGGAAUUCCGCGUGUAGCAGUGAAAUGCGUAGAUAUGCGGAGGAACACCAAUGGCGAAGGCAAUCCCCUGGGCCGUGCACUGACGCUCAUGCACGAAAGCGU
RNAcentral lists this ribosomal RNA (243 nucleotides) under uncultured bacterium. RNAcentral describes it as "partial 16S ribosomal RNA". It matches the Rfam family "Bacterial small subunit ribosomal RNA", at positions 524 to 762 of the family's 1533-position model. The record is from RNAcentral.